UUUACUCGUCAGAUGACGCUGGCGGCGUGCCUAAUACAUGCAAGUCGAACGAACUUCCGUUAAUUGAUUAUGACGUACUUGUACUGAUUGAGAUUUUAACACGAAGUGAGUGGCGAACGGGUGAGUAACACGUGGGUAACCUGCCCAGAAGUAGGGGAUAACACCUGGAAACAGAUGCUAAUACCGUAUAACAGAGAAAACCGCAUGGUUUUCUUUUAAAAGAUGGCUCUGCUAUCACUUCUGGAUGGACCCGCGGCGUAUUAGCUAGUUGGUGAGGUAAAGGCUCACCAAGGCAGUGAUACGUAGCCGACCUGAGAGGGUAAUCGGCCACAUUGGGACUGAGACACGGCCCAGACUCCUACGGGAGGCAGCAGUAGGGAAUCUUCCACAAUGGACGCAAGUCUGAUGGAGCAACGCCGCGUGAGUGAAGAAGGGUUUCGGCUCGUAAAGCUCUGUUGUUAAAGAAGAACGUGGGUAAGAGUAACUGUUUACCCAGUGACGGUAUUUAACCAGAAAGCCACGGCUAACUACGUGCCAGCAGCCGCGGUAAUACGUAGGUGGCAAGCGUUAUCCGGAUUUAUUGGGCGUAAAGCGAGCGCAGGCGGUCUUUUAAGUCUAAUGUGAAAGCCUUCGGCUCAACCGAAGAAGUGCAUUGGAAACUGGGAGACUUGAGUGCAGAAGAGGACAGUGGAACUCCAUGUGUAGCGGUGAAAUGCGUAGAUAUAUGGAAGAACACCAGUGGCGAAGGCGGCUGUCUGGUCUGCAACUGACGCUGAGGCUCGAAAGCAUGGGUAGCGAACAGGAUUAGAUACCCUGGUAGUCCAUGCCGUAAACGAUGAUUACUAAGUGUUGGAGGGUUUCCGCCCUUCAGUGCUGCAGCUAACGCAUUAAGUAAUCC
RNAcentral lists this ribosomal RNA (898 nucleotides) under Lacticaseibacillus paracasei. RNAcentral's name for it is "bacterial SSU rRNA". It matches the Rfam family "Bacterial small subunit ribosomal RNA", at positions 1 to 870 of the family's 1533-position model. The record is from RNAcentral. Lineage: Bacteria; Bacillati; Bacillota; Bacilli; Lactobacillales; Lactobacillaceae.